GCCAGUGUAGUGUAGUGGUUUGAGCAUUGGACUGUGACUCUGGAGAAUUGGGUUUGAAUCCCCACUUGGCCA
Molecule: non-coding RNA, 72 nt
Organism: Phrynosoma platyrhinos (Desert horned lizard)
Lineage: Eukaryota; Metazoa; Chordata; Lepidosauria; Squamata; Phrynosomatidae
Source: the annotation of a GenBank genome assembly